GAUGAACGCUAGCGGGAGGCUUAAUACAUGCAAGUCGAGGGGUAACAGAGGACUUCGGUUCUGCUGACGACCGGCGAACGGGUGAGUUACGCGUACGCAAUUUGCCUUCAAGUGGAGGAUAGCCCUGGGAAACUGGGAUUAAUACUCCAUAGUAUCAUAGAGUCGCAUGGCUUUAUGAUUAAAGAUCAGUCGCUUGAAGAUAAGCGUGCGUGCUAUUAGCUAGUUGGUAAGGUAAUGGCUUACCAAGGCUACGAUAGCUAGGGGGCGUGAGAGCGUGGCCCCCCACACGGGUACUGAGACACGGACCCGACUCCUACGGGAGGCAGCAGUAAGGAAUAUUGGACAAUGGGCGCAAGCCUGAUCCAGCUAUCCCGCGUGCAGGAUGACGGCCCUAUGGGUUGUAAACUGCUUUUGUACAGGAAGAAACGCCUUCAUUUAUGAGGGCCUGACGGUACUGUAAGAAUAAGCACCGGCUAACUCCG
Molecule: ribosomal RNA, 482 nt
Filed under: uncultured Saprospiraceae bacterium
Lineage: Bacteria; Pseudomonadati; Bacteroidota; Saprospiria; Saprospirales; Saprospiraceae
Description: bacterial SSU rRNA
Rfam family: Bacterial small subunit ribosomal RNA
Source: RNAcentral